This is a long non-coding RNA of Oncorhynchus tshawytscha (Chinook salmon), 373 nucleotides long. NCBI's taxonomy places the organism in Eukaryota, Metazoa, Chordata, Actinopteri, Salmoniformes, Salmonidae. The record is from Ensembl.
AGAACCACUCCCCCACUACGGACCACCACAGACCCCCUCCCUCCACCUUCACCACUCCCAGCAGCAGAGCCCGGAUCCUGGUACUGUUUAUUAAGGAGACAGCUGCCCAGCUCAUGCCUGAACCUAGAGACAUCAUCGAUGUGUACCCACCAUGGUGAGAGUGCACCAGUCUGCAGUAGUUACAGUAUUGGUAAUGCACAGCUAUGGUGUCAUGUUAUAAUUUUAAUGGCACGGGAAAUGCCAGAGUCAUUAUGUCAUCUAUCAUCGAGCACCUUCCUGUGUGACAUGUGAAUGGUUCCCACCCCCAUACUCCUUCACUGACUGGGCCCCUCCAUCCGCCUAGCCGCCUACCACUCCUUGUGAGACAGUGGAG